CUCCCAAGCCUAACCCUCUCAGUUUUCUUUGUAUUACAGGUUAUGGCACGAGAGUAUAAGUUGGCUGACAUAACGAGAGAUUUUGGAUUAUAGGCUAGUAGUUAUGAAUAACUGUUGUAAGGUCUAUUUUGUUCUGAUUAUGUUUUUGGUCUAUAUUGAACAUGACAUCCCGAGAUUUUGUUAUAAAAUGAAAAUACAUUUCUUUAAAGAAAUGCUUUGAUAAAUCUUUAUCAUAUUUUGGCAACAAAUUCCGCAACUGUUUUAUUUAAAAGAUUACUCUGAUUUUAAAAAAAAAAAACAAAGGUUAAACAAAUCGGUCUUUCUGGCUGUGAAAUUAGGGAUGUCACNGUGAAAUUGGGGAUGUCACAGUUGGUAUCAGAGCAUUAGUUUAAGCGAACUAGGAAUUUGUAGGAAAUUUCUAGACUUAAACUUAGAAUGCUAAGUAAUGAUUGUGAGGAGUGUGUCUAAAAUAUGAUAGGUAGUACACCUAAAUUGACACAAGCACUACUUUAUUUUAGGAAUGAUGCCUAAAAUGCUUUUAUGUGCUAAUUGUUUUGUGUGAUAGCUAAAUUGAUGCUAUUAUUUGUUCGGAUCUGUUCUCUGUUGCUGACUAGAUCUGGAAACCAUAUGUGUAUAGGAUUCUAAGCGUAUGACUACGAUAUUAGAACUAGCAUGUAAACGUUUCGGAGGGAUAAGGAGAUUUAUACGUUUAUCAUAAAUGAAGCUUUCUUAUCUUAAAUUCUCGCCGGUACAUCGAACGUCUGCUUGGGUGUACAAAAGGUCAUGGUGAAGACUUGUAGAGAAUUGAGUAAAUGAAGGAAAUGAAAAGGGCUUAUGAUAGUGAAUGACACCUAUCGGAAGAUAUCGUAAGAGUGGUGUCAUGCCUUUAUUUUAUGUAUGAUAAAAUAACGGAACGUUUAGAGGAGUACGGUACGUCUUAAGUACACCUUCGAUUAGUUGGAUGAUGGAACGGUUGGUGUAAUUCUUGAAGUUGUACCAUCGUUUGGAAUUUCCAUCACGAAUCGAGUUGAAGUAGAAUUGAUGAUUGUAGAUUGAGCAAUGAAGAAAUCCUAGUAUAGUCUUGGGAAAUUUCUAUGAUUAUUUGGACACUUUCGUAUGUGUUAAAUUGUUGUGUGAUUUUCUUGUAUGGUGACUUGGUCAACUGCGGGACAAUACUUGGGACGAGUAUGAGUAGGUGUGAAAGGUAGUAGAUGCAUAUACUACCGGAAGCACAGGACUCACACUUGGAUCACGUAAAGUCACAAGGUUACCAAGAAGCUCGUAAUUGAUUCCGUUGUGUUCAAGUGUGUCAUUACCCUUAUUUUGGUAGUGACUAGUAAGAUGGUUGUUAUUCCGACCCUAGUGGUCAUAUCAAAUUGAUUCUGACUACGAGGAGUUUGCUAUGUGGUUCAUAGAACCAAGUUCAAGGUACCAUCUGACUCAAGUCAGAAGAUUGAAAUCAAUGCGAUUGAUAGUAUCACGCUCGUUAAAAAAAAGGGAGUUUGUAGCUAGGCAUGCAACAUGUUAAAAAUAUGAUUAUAUCACAUUAGAAUAUGAAGGAAGGUUUAUUCCAUUCUGGAAUUUGACUCUAAGAGACUUGAUUCUAAGUGUUGCAUCAUACGAUGAGAGGUCAUUAGAACAUGACCCAUCGAUCUAUUGCAAUAGAUGAAUGAAAGUACUUAUCCUAAGAAGAAGAAGUAGUCCUCUAUAAGGAUUUAUUUUGUAACUCGGAAGUUAUGAUUGAAAUUAUAGCAUAGUACGAUAAGAAGAUGCAAGAUUGGGCAUCGUCUGCGGUCAAGAAAUCCAUAGAGUUAAAUACUCUUUCGAGGAAACAUAGAAGUUACGGUUAUUACUAGGAUGAAGAGAUAAUGUGCGGAAUCAUUAUGCAAGCCCUAUUUCGUAAAUGAUUCCGGGACGUAAUCAUCCUAAGGGGGAGAUAAUUCUAACGCCCGUAGAUCCAGGCUAGUCAAUUUAGAGACGAUAAGCAUCACAAAUGACUUUUUGAUGGAAGAUUAUUUAGAAGGAUUAAUCUUAACCAAGUUGUAGUAUAUGUCACAAGGUUUUCGUGUAUAUAAAGAAGGCCAAAAUCCAAGUUACAACGAAGAAGUUAUGACCUGUCGAAGUUUCGUGACAGAACCGGCACGACCCAGCGCGACGUAAAUAGUGAAUUUAAGGUAGAUAGAUAUCUAUCCUUAGUGAUCUAAACGAGACUCAAAGAUGUCUUUGAUAGUAGUCCAAAAAUAAAAAGACAGACGAAAACGGAGUUCAGAUGAAGGAGUUAUGANNNNNNNNNNNNNNNNNNNNNNNNNNNNNNNNNNNNNNNNNNNNNNNNNNNNNNNNNNNNNNNNNNNNNNNNNNNNNNNNNNNNNNNNNNNNNNNNNNNNUUAAAAAUAAAGUCAAAAUUAGCCAAUGGAGUCUAAACGAGAGUCUUUGAGCAUAAUCUCACAUACGCGUCGAUAUAAAGAACUUCGAAAACGGACUUCGUAUGCGAAAGUUAUGAAUUUCUGAAGUCCGGGGCGCGAAACCCUAAAACUGUCAGAUACUACGACGAGGCAAGCAGUGCAACGAUGCGGCAAGUCUUCUGACACCUCCGGGAGUCCCUUAGAUGCAACUUGCGAUGACGCAUGCAUUGUCGACCAAGCCCACGACGUGGAAAAAGGCCCCACAACGUGGCAAGGGCANUCUGAAGUUCGGGGCGCGAAACCCCAAAACUGUCAGAUACCAUGACGAGGCAAGCAGUGCGACGACGUGGCAAAUCUUCUGACACCUCCGAGAGUCCCCUAGAUGCAACUUUGACGCAUGCNCCUAGAUGCAACUUGCAAUGACGCAUGCAGUGAUGACCAAGCCCAUGACGUGGAAAAAGGUGCCACGACGUGGCAAGGGCAGAUUUUUCCCUAUAAAUAGAUUUGAAGGGCCAACCGAGUUUGGUUGCUCAUUCUCUCAUCUCUCACCCAUAUUACAUCGUUUUACGUGCAAUUUUAACCACCUGAAGCCCUUAUAUCAUCCCGAGACUCAAAGGAAGUCUCGAAGACCGAAGAUCCCGAGAAGAAAAGAGUUUCCGAGCCGAAGCUCUGCCCGCAAGAAACCCGGUGUGUGAAGUGAUCCCGGUUUCAACGAAGAAUACUACCAUUGCAAGCCGUAAUGCUGUCCGAUCAUCUUCUGAUCAUGUGAGUGUGUAGUUACUUUCUUCUAACACAUUAAUAUUAAGUAUUUGCUAUGAAAUACGUGCUAUGUUUGAAUAUAUAUUAUUGUUUAUUUCAGAUGUUUGUGGGAUGGAUAAAUUAUAUAGCUUUUAACGAGUUAAACUCUAUAUGUAUUUUGUAUCUGCAAAUAUGUUGGGUAGAACAUGGGUAGAUAAUAUUGUUGGUAUGUGAUAAAAUAUGACAUGGAUCUUGAGAUAAANGCUCUGCCCGCAAGAAACCCGGUGUGUGAAGUGAUCCCGGUUUCAACGAAGAAUACUACCAUUGCAAGCCGUAAUGCUGUCCGAUCAUCUUCUGAUCAUGUGAGUGUGUAGUUACUUUCUUCUAACACAUUAAUAUCAAGUAUUUGCUACGAAAUACGUGUUAUGUGUGUAUACAUAUUGUUGUUUAUUUGAGAGGUUUGUGGGAUGGACAAAAUAUAUAGGUUUUGAUGAGUUAAACUCUAUAUGUAUUUUGUAUCUGCAAAUAUGUUGGGUAGAACAUGGGCAGAUAAGAUUGUUGGUAUGUGAUAAAAGAUGACCUGGAUCAUGAGAUAAAAGGAUAAAGAGAUAAACUUGUUUUAGAUCUGGAUGUAUGGAUCAGAUCAGGAGGUUAGUUUUAGAUCCGAGAGUAUGGAUCAGAUCAAGAGGUUAGUUUUAGAUUCGGGAAUAUGGAUUAGGUAAUGAGGAAAAUUUAAGAUCCGGGAGUACGGAUUAUGUAUUUUUGAACUACGUGUUCUUUCAAUAAGGUAGCAUGAGUAUAGUCCCUUUUAGGAACAUGAUUUUAAUAUGAGUAUUGAUUAAAGUAUGAAAUAUGCAUAUGUAUGUAAAGUAUUUGUUAUUGUGUGAAAUACGUGUUAGAUAUAUUUGAUGAUAUACAACGUGUGAAUCAGUUAUGGUUCAAUAUGUGUUAAGAUGUGAAUAUAUGAUAUUAUUACUUAAAACUUUGUGUUAAGUAUACACUAGUCAGCAUUGCCUAAACGGAGUUAGUAUCGAAAAUUGAUUAUAAGCAUUGUACGCUUGCCUAGUGAUAGGUUAAGACUUAAAUAGGGAUGUUUAGUUCCAUUAAGUUUGGACAUUGGGUAGCCUCCUAUUAAGAUACGUGUGUUGUGAGAUUGAUGAUCGUUGGAGUACGUCCUACGUACAAAAGCACAUUUUAUGUAGGAAGUAUUUUUCAAAGCUCUGUGUCUUGGGUGUUGCUUGUGCCAGGGUACUAUUAUGUUCUCGGGUACGAUUCUUUCGCAUACCAGAGUACUAUAAUGUGCCAGAAGUACUAUCAUGUACAAAGUCUUUUUGACAAUUUUGUGUGUCGGUUACGGGAGCGUACGGGAGUACUCUAGUAGUAUUUCCCCAUACUUUUAUUUUGAGAGAGCUUUGGAGUCAGUGUUUCUUUUAUGAAGUGAUCGACCGACAUUCAUAUGUCAGCGUUUUCUUUCACGAAGUAAUUAAGGGAACUUCGUAGACUGCCUAAUAAAGUGUGUCGGUAACAGACCACUGCUAGGUAUGUCUGGUGUUAUAUUGUCGGAUAGGGUGCGUCUGGGGGUGAAAUACCUCAUGUAUUCAGGCCACUGNGACAUUCAUAUGUCAGCAUUUUCUUUCACGAAGUAAUUAAGGGAACUUCGUAGGGUCUGGGGAUAUAAUACCUCAUGAUAGUCAGACCACGCCUAGGCAUUGUUAUCUACCCCUAACUUAAAAUGUAUUGUGGUUCUUUCUUUUACGAACAAAGGUUCAUGGUGAAACUUAUUCCAUUCCCCUCAUUUGAUGUCUUUAUUGAUCCUCGUUUGCUGCUAGGGAAUUUCUGAAGCAACUUCGUCAGUUGUUUUUCAUAUCGAUUUCCUUAGGCUAUAUCUCAUAAGAUCAUUGUAUAGGGUCAGUAUGUGGGGAUCGACGGGAUGGGAUAGAUCGUUUUAGAAAUAUGGUAUAUAUGCUUUAAUAAUAUUAGUGGUUUUGCAGGAUCGAGAUAUACAUUAUUAUCAUCAUUGUUUGAACUAAGAGCUUUCGUACUCUGUGUUCCUUAGGUGAUUGGGUUCACCAGGGAUAUUUGAACUAAGAGUUCAUUAGGUGUUUUUGAACUAGGUGUUCAUUAAUUAUCGUGAACUGCGAGUUCACCAUAGGUAAUCUAAGAACCUUUGCAUCACUAAAAUUUGUGCCAAUUCCUUAGGGCAAUCCUUAGGAAUGAAUGGGAGAAGGGAAAUCGGUUCUUAGGAUAAAUAUUUAAGAAAUAAAUGGAGAUAAAUGGGGUAGGUAAUUGGAUUGAUUAUUUGAUAAUUAAAUAUAAUAAUUAUACUAUUGUGGGUUGAAAACUUUAUAUGCUCACCAGGCUCCCAAGCCUAACCCUCUCAGUUUUCUUUGUAUUACAGGUUAUGGCACGAGAGUAUAAGUUGGCUGACAUAACGAGAGAUUUUGGAUUAUAGGCUAGUAGUUAUGAAUAACUGUUGUAAGGUCUAUUUUGUUCUGUUUAUGCUUUUGGUCUGUAUUGAACAUGACAUCCCGAGAUUUUGUUAUAUAAUGAAAAUACAUUUCUUUAAAGAAAUGCUUUGAUAAAU
RNAcentral lists this long non-coding RNA (5724 nucleotides) under Lactuca sativa (garden lettuce). Its description in RNAcentral is "long non-coding RNA (LSAT_LNC003128)". The record is from RNAcentral. Lineage: Eukaryota; Viridiplantae; Streptophyta; Magnoliopsida; Asterales; Asteraceae.